This 785-nucleotide ribosomal RNA is filed under the name Staphylococcus sp. RNAcentral describes it as "bacterial SSU rRNA". It matches the Rfam family "Bacterial small subunit ribosomal RNA", at positions 63 to 830 of the family's 1533-position model. Lineage: Bacteria; Bacillati; Bacillota; Bacilli; Caryophanales; Staphylococcaceae. The record is from RNAcentral.
CGAGCGAACAGAUAAGGAGCUUGCUCCUUUGACGUUAGCGGCGGACGGGUGAGUAACACGUGGAUAACCUACCUAUAAGACUGGGAUAACUUCGGGAAACCGGAGCUAAUACCGGAUAAGAUUUUGAACCGCAUGGUUCAAUAGUGAAAGACGGCCUUGCUGUCACUUAUAGAUGGAUCCGCGCCGUAUUAGCUAGUUGGUAAGGUAACGGCUUACCAAGGCAACGAUACGUAGCCGACCUGAGAGGGUGAUCGGCCACACUGGAACUGAGACACGGUCCAGACUCCUACGGGAGGCAGCAGUAGGGAAUCUUCCGCAAUGGGCGAAAGCCUGACGGAGCAACGCCGCGUGAGUGAUGAAGGUCUUCGGAUCGUAAAACUCUGUUAUCAGGGAAGAACAAACGUGUAAGUAACUGUGCACGUCUUGACGGUACCUGAUCAGAAAGCCACGGCUAACUACGUGCCAGCAGCCGCGGUAAUACGUAGGUGGCAAGCGUUAUCCGGAAUUAUUGGGCGUAAAGCGCGCGUAGGCGGUUUUUUAAGUCUGAUGUGAAAGCCCACGGCUCAACCGUGGAGGGUCAUUGGAAACUGGAAAACUUGAGUGCAGAAGAGGAAAGUGGAAUUCCAUGUGUAGCGGUGAAAUGCGCAGAGAUAUGGAGGAACACCAGUGGCGAAGGCGACUUUCUGGUCUGUAACUGACGCUGAUGUGCGAAAGCGUGGGGAUCAAACAGGAUUAGAUACCCUGGUAGUCCACGCCGUAAACGAUGAGUGCUAAGUGUUAGGGGG